CUAUAUUACACGGACAAUUAACAAGAGAUAAUUCUAAAAUAAUCUAUGUGUUGAAGCUACACAGGUGUUUAAAAACAUGCUAAUCCAAACCUUCCAUCUUAGUAACUGAGAACAAAAAGAAUGACAAUAAACUCUUAGAAUUAAAAUCUCAGACUAUGCAAGGCUAUAAAAAUCAUCAUUAACAUUCUCAGUUAUAUCUGAAAGCACAUUCUAAGCCAGAAAGGAAUUUAGUACUGGUGUCAACAGGAUUGACAUUUUUUUUUUGUUCUGCAUUCAAUUAGAGUAAAAAACCAUAAGAGAUGAUGAUCUUAACUUAGUCCAGAGUACUGAAAAGGAGAUAUCUUGGAAAAUUAAGAUUAUCUCUAAUUGUGAACACCUUGGCAAGUAAAGACAUCUAUUUCAUGAAAGAGCUUUACAAUAUUUUUAUUACAGCUUGCCUGCAAUAUUUUUAUUUCUUCUGUUUUUCAGAUCUGAAGAUCUAUUUUGAUUCUUCCCAGAAGCCACAAAGAGAAUACUCCACCAGACUUAACUUCAAGUAAAAAAGUCUUAUUUGACUCAAGUUUGCCAUUGCCUUCUGACAAAAAGCACCUGAAAAGAAGAAUACUUGUGUUUUCUAUGCAUAAAAUUCAAUAAAACAGAAGAAAUAAGAUAAAAUGAUAAAGUU
This 664-nucleotide long non-coding RNA is filed under the name Cyanistes caeruleus (blue tit). RNAcentral describes it as "lncRNA (ENSCCEG00000009313.1)". The record is from RNAcentral. Lineage: Eukaryota; Metazoa; Chordata; Aves; Passeriformes; Paridae.